This 412-nucleotide long non-coding RNA is filed under the name Brachypodium distachyon (stiff brome). RNAcentral describes it as "long non-coding RNA (BDIS_LNC000229)". Lineage: Eukaryota; Viridiplantae; Streptophyta; Magnoliopsida; Poales; Poaceae. The record is from RNAcentral.
GGAAACAUGUCACGCUGCAUGCAUAAGCACCUGUGGUAUCCCCUUGUCUAUAAAAGGAGGACCGAUGCCACCGGUCAAAGGGUUCGACUUGGGUCACAUUCCGUUCAAGUAGCCAAGCUCUUAGGGGGACAAGUACCAUAGAUGAGGAAACAGCCAUCGCGCGCCGUCUCUGCCGAGAUCUCCGCGCUCCGUCCAUUCUUAGGUGGUGGUGGGCUUUCCAUCUAUAGAAAAAAAAAGAAGGAAAGGUAGGAAAGUAUCACUAACAUGAUCAAAUGGUCGGGUGUAAGUAGAAUAAAAGGAUAAAGGUAGAAGGGUGGAUAAAAGACAAGAAUUAUAAUUAAAAGUGGAAUUGCAAAGACAAAAUUGGAUGCAUGAUGAUAUGUGCACAACAAGACAACAUGAUUAUAGUGGU